Molecule: ribosomal RNA, 1464 nt
Filed under: human gut metagenome
Description: bacterial LSU rRNA
Rfam family: Bacterial large subunit ribosomal RNA
Source: RNAcentral
UGAGGGAAAGGUGAAAAGAACCGCGGGAGCGGAGUGAAAUAGAACCUGAAACCGUAUGCUUACAAGAAGUCAGAGCCCGUUAAAGGGUGAUGGCGUGCCUUUUGUAGAAUGAACCGGCGAGUUACGUUAUCGUGCGAGGUUAAGUAGAAGAUACGGAGCCGAAGCGAAAGCGAGUCUUAAUAGGGCGACAGUACGAUGAUGUAGACCCGAAACCGUGUGAUCUAGCCAUGACCAGGUUGAAGUUCAGGUGAAACUGAAUGGAGGACCGAACCGACCCCCGUUGAAAAGUUGGCGGAUGAGUUGUGGCUAGGGGAGAAAUUCCAAUCGAACACGGAUAUAGCUGGUUCUCCCCGAAAUAGCUUUAGGGCUAGCGUCGAGGCAGAGUCGCAUGGAGGUAGAGCACUGAAUGUACGAUGGCCCCAUCCCGGGGUACUGAGUAUAAUCAAACUCCGAAUGCCAUGCAGACGUACUCGGCAGUCAGACUGUGGGUGAUAAGGUCCAUGGUCAAAAGGGAAACAGCCCAGACCGCCAGUUAAGGUCCCAAAAUGUAUGCUAAGUGGAAAAGGAUGUGGGGAUGCACAGACAACUAGGAGGUUGGCUCAGAAGCAGCCAUCCUUCAAAGAGUGCGUAACAGCUCACUAGUCGAGUGACCCUGCGCCGAAAAUGUACCGGGGCUAAGCAUACUACCGAAGCUGCGGAUUCAACUUCAGAGUUGAGUGGUAGGGGAGCGUUGCAUGCACGUAGAAGCCGUACCGUAAGGAGCGGUGGAGAGCAUGGAAGAGAGAAUGCCGGUGUGAGUAGCGAGAUGUAGGUGAGAAUCCUACACACCGAUAGCCCAAGGAUUCCAGGGGAAGGUUCGUCCGCCCUGGGUAAGUCGGGACCUAACGCGAGGCCGAAAGGCGUAGUGGAUGGAAAACAGGCAGAUAUUCCUGUACCCGCGAUGGAAAUGAAGGAAUGACGGAGAAGGCUAGUGUGAGCCACUGAACGGAUUGUGGUCGAAGCAUAUAGCAGGCUGACAGUGAAAUGCGUCAGCGGGAUGUAAGAUGUGACAGGUAAGGGAACGUCCUCGGACAAGUACUGAAGCACAUGAUGCCAGCUUCCAAGAAAAGUUUCUAGUGAUGAUUCCAUAGCGGCCCGUACCAAAACCGACACAGGUGGGCAAGGAGAGAAUCCUGAGGUGAGCGAGAGAACUGUUGCCAAGGAACUCGGCAAAAUGACUCCGUAAGUUAGCGAUAAGGAGUGCUCUUGUAAAAGAGAGCCGCAGUGAAGAGGCCCAAGCGACUGUUUAACUAAAACACAGCUCUCUGCAAAGUCGCAAGACGAAGUAUAGGGGGUGACGCCUGCCCGGUGCUGGAAGGUUAAGAGGAUUUGUCAUCCGCAAGGAGAAGCAAUGAAUUGAAGCCCCAGUGAACGGCGGCCGUAACUAUAACGGUCCUAAGGUAGCGAAAUUCCUUGUCAGGUAAG